AUGUGGAGGAACACCAGUGGCGAAGGCGACUCUCUGGUCUGUAACUGACGCUGAGGAGCGAAAGCGUGGGGAGCGAACAGGAUUAGAUACCCUGGUAGUCCACGCCGUAAACGAUGAGUGCUAAGUGUUAGGGGGUUUCCGCCCCUUAGUGCUGCAGCUAACGCAUUAAGCACUCCGCCUGGGGAGUACGGUCGCAAGACUGAAACUCAAAGGAAUUGACGGGGGCCCGCACAAGCGGUGGAGCAUGUGGUUUAAUUCGAAGCAACGCGAAGAACCUUACCAGGUCUUGACAUCCUCUGACAACCCUAGAGAUAGGGCUUUCCCUUCGGGGACAGAGUGACAGGUGGUGCAUGGUUGUCGUCAGCUCGUGUCGUGAGAUGUUGGGUUAAGUCCCGCAACGAGCGCAACCCUUGAUCUUAGUUGCCAGCAUUUAGUUGGGCACUCUAAGGUGACUGCCGGUGACAAACCGGAGGAAGGUGGGGGAUGACGUCAAAUCAUCAUGCCCCUUAUGACCUGGGCUACACACGUGCUACAAUGGACAGAACAAAGGGCUGCAAGACCGCAAGGUUUAGCCAAUCCCAUAAAUCUGUUCUCAGUUCGGAUCGCAGUCUGCAACUCGACUGCGUGAAGCUGGAAUCGCUAGUAAUCG
RNAcentral lists this ribosomal RNA (649 nucleotides) under Bacillus sp. R149-2a. Its description in RNAcentral is "bacterial SSU rRNA". It matches the Rfam family "Bacterial small subunit ribosomal RNA", at positions 696 to 1344 of the family's 1533-position model. Lineage: Bacteria; Bacillati; Bacillota; Bacilli; Caryophanales; Bacillaceae. The record is from RNAcentral.